AGUGCGGUAGCACAGGGGAGCUUGCGUCCCUGGGUGACGAGCGUGCGGACGGGUGAGUAAUGUCUGGGAAACUGCCUGAUGGAGGGGGAUAACUACUGGAAACGGUAGCUAAUACCGCAUAACGUCGCAAGACCAAAGAGGGGGACCUUCGGGCCUCUUGCCAUCAGAUGUGCCCAGAUGGGAUUAGCUAGUAGGUGGGGUAAUGGCUCACCUAGGCGACGAUCCCUAGCUGGUCUGAGAGGAUGACCAGCCACACUGGAACUGAGACACGGUCCACACUCCUACGGGAGGCAGCAGUGGGGAAUAUUGCACAAUGGGCGCAAGCCUGAUGCGGCCAUGCCGCGUGUGUGAAGAAGGCCUUCGGGUUGUAAAGCAUUUUCAGCGAGGAGGAAGGUGGUGAACU
This 403-nucleotide ribosomal RNA is filed under the name Serratia marcescens. RNAcentral describes it as "bacterial SSU rRNA". It matches the Rfam family "Bacterial small subunit ribosomal RNA", at positions 63 to 460 of the family's 1533-position model. The record is from RNAcentral. Lineage: Bacteria; Pseudomonadati; Pseudomonadota; Gammaproteobacteria; Enterobacterales; Yersiniaceae.